ACCCAGUCGGCUGGAGGCGCUGGAGCCGGGGGCCAAUCACCUGGAGGCGCUGGAGCCGGGGGCCAGUACUCAAGAGGCGCUGGAGGCGCUAAAGCAGGAACUGGACCUGAUGAGCUUUGAUCGGGCUGGCUCCAACGUGCUCCGAGGCGGAGACCCCUACCUGCCCCCGCCGGCCGACAUGCCCCCCCCUGUGCUGCCUGGCAACGCCUUGUUCCUGGGGGCCAACGACCUCCCCCCACUCCACGUCGACUCCAAGGACUUCCAGUGACAGCGUCUGCCCCUCGCUGGGGGGGCUCAGAGGCCAGGGCCUGUUCCCCAGCCCCCCCGUGUAUGGGGGGGUGGCCCUGGCUCUGCCCUCCCCUGCCUUCCGGGUAGGCCCCGGGGCAUCCGUGGUCCCUGGGGCGGGGGGUUCUCAGGCCUUCCUGUCCUUAGUGGUGGGGUGCAGGUGGCUCCCCCGGGGGUGAGACGAACUCUCUCUCUCUCUCUCUCUCUCUCUUGUAAAUAAACCUCCCCCCCCCAGCUCGCUGUGGUGCUGUUUGGGGGGGGGGUUCCAUGGCGUCUCGGGAGGAUCCCCUGAACUGUCCAUCCCCCUUGUGUGGGGGCCGUGUGCGGGCUGCACCCUCCUGCUCCCCGGGGCUGUUGUGCUCUGGCUGGCCACCAGAGGGCACCGUGCCCUCUCCUACCGUCCCCGCCCCCCCUCCCCCACGGGUUGCAGGGGUGGGGGGUCCCCCCACCUGGAGGGGAGCCCCUGGCCCUUCGCCAAAGCGGAACUCGGCUCCCCUCAGGCCAGGAGCAGGGCCCUGGCUGGCGGCCGGGGCCUGAGCGCUGGGCUGGUUCUGGGGCAGGGGGGGCCUGGAGUUGGAUGUGGGGAGAAGCAGGGAGGGCUGAGCCCGGGGGGAGGGGUGUGUGUGUGUGUGUGUUACCAGCCCCCCUCCCCCCCCAGGGGGUGCGCUAGGGGCUGGGGCUGGCUUGAGGUUUCCCAGGGCGUCAAAGCUGGGACCAGACCCCAGGCGUCCUGCCCCUCGGUCCAUCCGUGUCCCCCCUGCCCCUCAACCACGCUGCCUCCUCCCGAAGAGGGGGCCCAGCAGAGCAGGGAGGGCGAUGCCCCUGGUGAUGGGCAGAAGCCCCUGCCCCUGCCCCUGCCCUUGGAGAGGCCCUGGCUCAUUCCCGGGGAGCUCGGGGGGCUGAGCUGGGGCAGGAGGGCUGGGUGUUCGUCUCUGAGAUGGUACUGGCCUGAGCUGGGUGCUGUGGCCCUUGCAACCCCCUGCUUCUCUCCCCCCCCCACCCCCGGUGCCAGCCAUGUGGCUGGGAAUUUUUUAUAAUAUUUUGUAUGAUGACCGUGUGUGCCUCAGUUUCUCCAUGUGCUGCAUAGCUAACUAGGUGCCGGGGGAAAGGGUUACUCGCAGCCACCCAGGCGUGGCUGAUACUCGGCUGGCUGGGGCCCAGAAGACAACGGCCCUGGUCAGGGCCCCUCUGCAGGAAGCCGGCCAGGUGGGAGCAGCUGGAGAACAAGGAGCCGAGGAGGAGGAGGGCGGCCAGGGACCCAGCUUUGCCCGGGACCAGAGGAAAGGACGGCGGAGGGCCAAGGACCAGUGUUAAGUGGGGGCUGCUGGAAGCCACAGACUCUGCGGGGCUGGGGCUGAGCGUGUUGGGCUCCGGACUGACCCCCGAGGACUUUCCCUUCUCUGUGCUGCCGCGAGGUGUGUAAUAAACCCCCCGAACAGCA
Molecule: long non-coding RNA, 1726 nt
Organism: Mauremys reevesii (Reeves's turtle)
Lineage: Eukaryota; Metazoa; Chordata; Testudines; Geoemydidae
Exons: 2
Source: RefSeq, a predicted model, not a curated record